Long non-coding RNA from Equus caballus (horse), 4816 nucleotides. RefSeq lists it as uncharacterized. Lineage: Eukaryota; Metazoa; Chordata; Mammalia; Perissodactyla; Equidae. The record is from RefSeq and is a predicted model, not a curated record.
UACACCACCAGGCUGGCCCCCCAGGUCAGAUUUGAAUGCUCUUGUGCUCAGGAAUCCACCCUAGGACCCUCCUCAGUGUGUAACCCUGACUUUCAGGAAGUCCUUCCAGCAUUCUGACCACAAUUCCUGGGUGACACUUGAGAAACCAGCAGUCCCAAAGCCCCUGAAUGAAACAGAUAUCAGCCCUACAUUCCAGGAACAUGUAGUACUACACCCUCAUUCAGCUCCCCCCAUCCUGCCUUUCCAAAGGAGGAAGGUGGGAUCCCACAUUCCCAAAGGUCUCUCCCAUUUGGGUAUCCUAUUCCUAUCCUAUUUCUGCUUUCAGAAUGCCCAACAUCAACACUUCCUGUCCCACCACCAUCCCUCUCCACAUCUGCAAGCUCACAAGGUCAAGUGGUUUUCCCUGCACCAAGGUUUGAGAAUUCCUGGGGGUGCUGAGAUCCCUUGGCCAGAAGGAAGCUAGGGGAAAGUGGAAAUCACCUCCCCUCAAGCCCUGCUGGGGGGACUUGAGGUCACAAAGCUGGGGAUGUUCUGAGGCCUGGCUACCACUCCCUCCUCAUCUAAGGGGCAAUACUAACAGGGAGAAGAUACGUGAAUUCCAGAGGCGCUCCCCAUCAUGAGGGUGGAGAGGAGGAAGAAGUGAGUUCUGCCCCCAAUCAUCUCCCCCUGCCAUUGCUGAGCCAGACAGGCACAAGGGUGUGAAUAGGUCUCCGCCUCCCCAAAAAAAACCUUAGUGGGGUGGGAGCAACUCGCAUAGCUGAGGGAGGGGGGACCUGGGGGCUGGAGAGGCAGGAAGGUGGAAACCCGCUCAGACAAAGGCUGACCCCAGCCAGGCUGACUGGCCAGCUAGCCCACCCCCACCCCCCUGCGGCAGGCAGCUUGGCAGGGCUGAGCGCCAGCUCCUCGAUCCAAACCGAGUUCCCACCGAGCGUGCUUAAUGCACCGGCGGUGACAUUUCUGCCUUCAGAGGCAAAAACAGGAACCCGGCCAUUUUGAUGAAGGGCGCCCAAAGUGCAGACGGUAGAUGGAGGACCAGGAUCCGACUCCUGCACCCCCCACCCUAACCGCCCACUCUCCCCUCUGCCCAGUGCCCAAGCCAGAGGGUCACAAAACUGGGGUGGCCAAACAGGGAAGAUGCUACAGAAACCCCCACCUUCUUGUAUAGGUGGGGAAACUGAGGCCACAGCGCUGAAACUAGCUAGAUCUGGAGAAUGUUAAAGGAGGGACUGAGAAAAGCACCGGGGCGGAUGGCCUGAAGAAAGUCCAGGUGGGAGCGCUUGUUUGAGGAGCCAGAGAGCUGAACCGAGCAGGCCGCAAGGACAGGUUUCAAAAGAGUUUGCACACCUGGCCCCCAACCGUGGCGCGCCCUCAUGAGGGCGCUCGCGGUGCCUCUAAUCCUCCAAGCAGCGAGAGGGUUAACCUUCCUCGCGGUACUUGCCGCAGUAAGUGGAAAGGAAAGAAGUGUCAACUCUGUUCUCACCACAGCGGGGCUGUCGGAUGGCACCUCCCCCCGCCCCGCGCACCCCGCCCGGCCUGCUCCCCCGCCCUCCCCUCGGAGCGCGCGCGCAUACACCUCCCACCGCUUUGCCCAAAUUAUUUUCGAUCCCGGGAGACUCCGGAUGCCAGACGCGCUCCGCGGCGGCGGCGGCGGCGGCCGCGCCUGAUUCAUUGCGCCAAAGCUGCAGAUGCGACCUCCCGCCUGCGCCCUGUGCCCCGGCCUGCGUGCGCGCCUGGAGAGACUGGGGGUGUGGCAAUUUGUAGGCGCUACCCCCCUACACAAGAGGCGGGCCCUGGCCCCCUGGGGCCAGGUCCCCAGUCCCCAGCUCCGCGGGCUGCGCUAAUUAGCUUCCUCGGGGGGCGCCACGCGGCGUGAGGGGCGGCAAUUUCCCGGCUGGGCUGCGGGGGAAGCUCUCCCACCGCCUGGGAAGUGCACCGUCUCCAUGGAAACCGCGGAGGAGGUCACGGUAGCUGGGCCCCCGCGCGUCACCCCGCGCCUCGCCGGCUGCAGGCGCCCGGAUUGCGGCCUCCCAGGCGCCGCGGCCCGCGUGGACUCCACUCCAAGUUCCCCGCCCCCGCUCUACUCCGCCCGCGGCUCAGGCCAUGUGACUCUGCCGGGUCCAAACCCAGAAUGGCGCACCUGGGCACCAGUGCGCUAGGCUGUGCCUCUGUCCCCGGGCUCUGGCACGCGGGAAUGCGCCAAGAAACACGUGCCCAGCUCCAAGUCGGGAACAUGUGUGGCCAGACGCCGCCGAGGGGCUCAAUGCACUUGCGAAUGCCCUGGAAGAUCGACCUAUAUUGGCGCACAACUCCAGAGCUCUUGCUAAAACGAGACCGCCCGUGGUUAACGCCGGCUCUGGAGUCAGCCGAAUCCCGCCUAGGUAACUUAGCUAUGUGACUUCAAGCAAGUCACGACCUCUCUGCGCCUCAGCUUGCACAUCAGCAAAGCGGAAUUAGUGUGAGGCCUCAGACAAAGUACGUCAAACGCCUAUCACUGUGUUUGGCACGUGGUUCUGAAAAAUGGUAGCUGUGGUUGGGGUUAUUUUUUCCCAGCUGGGAAAGCCAAAGCCCAGAAGGCUUCGCUCAAGAGUGCGGUCAGCCUGAAGGCUGGGAGUUACACCUUGGGAGCUCCCCAGCACCUCAGCCUAGACGCAAAGGCGGGAGGUGAGGGCACGCGUGCCAGCGGCCUAGGGCCUGGGGCGCGGCGGACGGGGUUGGAGCCUCCCGAGCUAGCCACAUCCGCACCCGGAACCCUGGAAAGGGGGCUCCCCGCGGUCUCUCCACCCCCGCCCUCACCCCCGCGCCAGCACCAUUAGCAACAGGCCAGCCUGCCCUCCCUCCCAGGGCUGAGGCCGCACCUGCCCCACCGGAUGGCCGCCCCGGGGCCAGGCCGUGCCCCCCACCGCGCACACUUCCUCCGCCCGCCCCCCCCCAGCGCCCCGUCGAGUGCGCAGGGGGAGGGGAGCGGGCCGCCCCCGCCCCGCCAGCUUCCCACAGCCUGAGCUGCCCGGAGCCGGGGAGGCAGGAAGUCUCAGAGCCGGGGCGUGGAGGCGGGGUAGGGGCAGGAAGUUGGGGGUGACUCUCCCAGAGACCCCAGACGGGGCCCCGGCGUGGGAGCGGGGUGGGCGGGCGCGUAGGGAUUAAGGGUGCCCCCUCCUCUGUAGCUUUAGGCCAUGUGACCCAGGCCGGAGCGCCCCGCUGGGUGAGGGCUAAGGCCGCUACCUCUGGCGACCCCCAGCAGCGCGCACAAGGAGGGAGGGGCCGCCUUUGUCUACUUUGCCGCAGAGGCAGCCCCCCACCACCCCUCCCCCCGCGCCCCGCCGGGCCCUGCACAGCCCGGGUUUUCCAUCCGGCCCGGCUCGGCUCGGCAGCUGUCAGGGGACCGAGCUGACCUUCGCGAGCAGGGAGUUUCAAUUAGCCGCAGAUCAGAUAAGCGGGCGGGCCCGUCUCUCCGGGCACCGCGGGGGCGCAGCCCCGCCCCCGCCACGCCGCGCCAAACGCGCUCCAGAUGGGAACAAAGAUGAGGACGCAGCUCCACCUGCCUCCCCGGGGAGGGGGGAAGAGGAGGCCCCGCCGGGAGGAGCUUCCCACCGGAGGAAAGGGUUGCGCGCCCUCCCCUGCCCGUCUAGGAUCUCAGGCCCGGGCAGGGGUCUAGUCAAGACGAUCUUUGCGGCUCUGCUUGCCUCCUGCACUGCAGAGAGGUGCCUGCCGCACUGACCUCAUCCCCAGGCGGGCAUCGUGCCCUCCCUCCUCCGGAAAGAACCUUUUACCAUCUUUGAUCUCAUCCAGAGCUCUCCCUAAGAGGCUGAGAAGAGGCAGAGCCCAACAGAAAAAGGAAACUGAGGUAGAGAGGGCCUAGGACUUCCUGAUCCAGGUCACACCAACUACAACAUUCUUUCAGAUGUUUAUUGAGUGCCUACUAAGUGCCAGGCACUAUUUAGACUAUGGGGACACCAGAAAACAAAAAUAGUAUCCUUCCCAGCCUCACAGAACUUACAUUCUAAUUCAAUGAGACAGACUUUAACCAAGUAAACAAAUACAUAGUUGAACAAGAGCAUUUCUGAGCGUCUGAAGAGCCUUGAAGAUAUUAAAAUAGGUCAUGUGAGACUGAUUUCAGGGAGGGGACCAUGUUAGCUAUGGUAGUCAGAGAGGACCUCACUGAGGCCUGAAAGGCCAGGAGGAGCCAGCCAAGCAAAGGAGAGCGGGUGGAGCAGGCCACUGUGGGCCUGACCUCAGGCCCAAAGGGGAAAGCAGACCAGGGGAGGAGGUCAGGGUUUAUGCAGAGUGCAUUGGGAGCCUUUGGUGGGUUCCAGGCUGGGAGUGACAUGGUCUGACUUAAAUUUUUAAAAGAUCCCUCUGGCUACUGUGUAGAUGGAAGGAAGGCAAAGCUGUAAGCAAGGAGACCAGGGAGGAGGGGGAGAGGAUAGGGCCGGAGGGGGGAGAGGGGAUGGAGGAGGGGUUAUUGGAUUAGUGAUAUAUUUGGCACGUGAAGUGAUUGUGGGGAUGAGGUAGAGCACAGGAAGCUUGGUGAGUGUGCAAGUCAAGAUUUGAACCUAGGUCAGCCUUUGGGAGUGUGGAGGAGCUGCUUGGAGGUGAAGAGCAAAGCUAUGGAGCAAGAAUGCCAGGGUUCAAAUCCCCCUAGUGAUAAUCACCAACUGAGUGACCUGGGGCAAGCAUCUCUAUCAGUUUCCUCAAGCGUUUAAAAAGGAGAAGAAUGAUAAUGGAAAUUGUCAUUGUAAGGUUUGAAUAUGAUAUAACGUGAAAAGUGUGUAUCACAGAGUCUAGUAACUAGUAGGUGCUCAAUAAAUGUUGACUAUUA